GUGGGUUUUGUGAUAUUAUGUCUUCUGUUCUUCGUGUAUUGUUUUGUAAGCUAUUGUCCGUCUUUUCGGCAUUUUUUGUUUUAUUGUGUUCUGUCGGUCUUGGCUUCGCCUUAUCAGUGUUUACACUACCUUUUUUUAUUGUUUGUCUCUUUUUUUUAUUAUUCGACUUCAUAUCAUUAUUGGGUCGAUGUAAUUGUGGUUUGGGCAUUUUAAUCAAUCUGAUACCUCAACCCUUUAGAACUGGGAACUAGCACCAUAUUGUUGUAUUACCUUGAUAUUAG
This 281-nucleotide long non-coding RNA is filed under the name Mytilus galloprovincialis (Mediterranean mussel). Lineage: Eukaryota; Metazoa; Mollusca; Bivalvia; Mytilida; Mytilidae. The record is from RNAcentral.